This 237-nucleotide ribosomal RNA is filed under the name uncultured bacterium. RNAcentral's name for it is "partial 16S ribosomal RNA". It matches the Rfam family "Bacterial small subunit ribosomal RNA", at positions 99 to 334 of the family's 1533-position model. The record is from RNAcentral.
CGAACGGGUGAGUAACGCGUGAGGAACCUGCCUCAAAGAGGGGGACAACAGUUGGAAACGACUGCUAAUACCGCAUAAGCCCACGGGUCGGCAUCGACCUGAGGGAAAAGGAGCAAUCCGCUUUGAGAUGGCCUCGCAUCCGAUUAGCUAGUUGGUGAGGUAACGGCCCACCAAGGCGACGAUCGGUAGCCGGACUGAGAGGUUGAACGGCCACAUUGGGACUGAGACACGGCCCAG